UACGUAGGUGGUUCCUAGUGAUUUGGCCGAAAGAGCGGAGUGUUCCUGUGCGACGGCCUUUGAAAAAGGGGACUUGUGUUGGUGAGAGGUAGGGGCAAAUUCUUAUGUAGGGGUAGAAUCCCGCCAUAUGAGAAUGAACGACAGCUGGCGAAGGCGCCUUUCCCGCUCCAACAGACGCUAAGGUACGGAAGCUUAGGUAGCAAACG
RNAcentral lists this ribosomal RNA (206 nucleotides) under uncultured bacterium. RNAcentral describes it as "partial 16S ribosomal RNA". It matches the Rfam family "Bacterial small subunit ribosomal RNA", at positions 568 to 774 of the family's 1533-position model. The record is from RNAcentral.